RNAcentral lists this ribosomal RNA (449 nucleotides) under uncultured bacterium. Its description in RNAcentral is "partial 16S ribosomal RNA". It matches the Rfam family "Bacterial small subunit ribosomal RNA", at positions 29 to 523 of the family's 1533-position model. The record is from RNAcentral.
AACGAACGCUGGCGGCAUGCCUAACACGUGCAAGUCGAACGAGAUCUUCGGGUCUAGUGGCGCACGGGUGCGUAACGCGUGGGAAUCUGCCCUUUGGUUCGGAAUAACAGUUGGAAACGACUGCUAAUACCGGAUGAUGACGAAAGUCCAAAGAUUUAUCGCCAGAGGAUGAGCCCGCGUAGGAUUAGCUAGUUGGUGUGGUAAAGGCGCACCAAGGCGACGAUCCUUAGCUGGUCUGAGAGGAUGAUCAGCCACACUGGGACUGAGACACGGCCCAGACUCCUACGGGAGGCAGCAGUGGGGAAUAUUGGAAAAUGGGCGAAGGCCUGAUCAAGCAAUGCCGCGUGAGUGAUGAAGGCCUUAGGGUUGUAAAGCUCUUUUACCCGGGAUGAUAAUGACAGUACCGGGAGAAUAAGCUCCGGCUAACUCCGUGCCAGCCGCCGCCGUAA